GAUGAACGCUGGCGGCGCGCCUAACACAUGCAAGUCGAACGGCACCCCUCCUCGGAGGGAAGCGCGUGGCGAACGGCUGAGUAACACGUGGAGAACCUGCCCCCUCCCCCGGGAUAGCCGCCCGAAAGGACGGGUAAUACCGGAUACCCCGGGGUGCCGCAUGGCACCCCGGCUAAAGCCCCGACGGGAGGGGAUGGCUCCGCGGCCCAUCAGGUAGACGGCGGGGUGACGGCCCACCGUGCCGACAACGGGUAGCCGGGUUGAGAGACCGACCGGCCAGAUUGGGACUGAGACACGGCCCAGACUCCUACGGGAGGCAGCAGUGGGGAAUCUUGCGCAAUGGGGGGAACCCUGACGCAGCGACGCCGCGUGCGGGACGGAGGCCUUCGGGGCGUAAACCGCUUUCAGCAGGGAAGAGUCAAGACUGUACCUGCAGAAGAAGCCCCGGCUAACUACGUG
This 459-nucleotide ribosomal RNA is filed under the name uncultured bacterium. RNAcentral's name for it is "partial 16S ribosomal RNA". It matches the Rfam family "Bacterial small subunit ribosomal RNA", at positions 28 to 507 of the family's 1533-position model. The record is from RNAcentral.